RNAcentral lists this ribosomal RNA (468 nucleotides) under uncultured bacterium. RNAcentral's name for it is "partial 16S ribosomal RNA". It matches the Rfam family "Bacterial small subunit ribosomal RNA", at positions 28 to 507 of the family's 1533-position model. The record is from RNAcentral.
GACGAACGCUGGCGGCGUGCUUAACACAUGCAAGUCGAACGGAAAGGCCCUGCUUUUGUGGGGUGCUCGAGUGGCGAACGGGUGAGUAACACGUGAGUAACCUGCCCUUGACUUUGGGAUAACUUCAGGAAACUGGGGCUAAUACCGGCUAGGAGCUCCUGCUGCAUGGUGGGGGUUGGAAAGUUUCGGCGGUUGGGGAUGGACUCGCGGGUUAUCAGCUUGUUGGUGGGGUAGUGGCUUACCAAGGCUUUGACGGGUAGCCGGCCUGAGAGGGUGACCGGCCACAUUGGGACUGAGAUACGGACCAGACUCCUACGGGAGGCAGCAGGGGGGAAUAUGGCACAAUGGGCGGAAGCCUGAUGCAGCAACGCCGCGUGCGGGAUGACGGCCUUCGGGUUGUAAACCGCUUUCGCCUGUGACGAAGCGUGAGUGACGGUAAUGGGUAAAGAAGCACCGGCUAACUACGUG